ACGGCACUGCUGUCCGCUCGGCUACCUGCGGAACGCCGGGGCGCUGAGGGUAUAAUGCUGGGGCGCCUCGGCACUGGGGCCAAGGACAUCCCGAGCCCGAAAAGAACGCUGUUUAGGCACUGACUAACCACCUAAGUGAGGGCACUGAAGCUACGGGAAAGGCAAGGUCCGCAUCGCGUCGCCCCAGCCCGGGACGCCGGAUUGCUCACACAGGCUGAGAGUAGAAAUGCUGUAAGAAGGGUGAGCCAUACAUGUAAUCACGAGUGUCAUUUGAAGAGAUAAACAGAGGCUGAUCUGAUUACAAAACAGAA
Fukomys damarensis (Damara mole-rat) is the source of this 311-nucleotide long non-coding RNA. RefSeq lists it as uncharacterized. The transcript is spliced from 2 exons. Lineage: Eukaryota; Metazoa; Chordata; Mammalia; Rodentia; Bathyergidae. The record is from RefSeq and is a predicted model, not a curated record.